Molecule: ribosomal RNA, 1346 nt
Filed under: uncultured bacterium
Lineage: Bacteria
Description: partial 16S ribosomal RNA
Rfam family: Bacterial small subunit ribosomal RNA
Source: RNAcentral
GACGAACGCUGUCGGCGUGCUUAACACAUGCAAGUCGAACGGAAAGGCCCUGCUUUUGUGGGGUGCUCGAGUGGCGAACGGGUGAGUAACACGUGAGUAACCUGCCCUUGACUUUGGGAUAACUUCAGGAAACUGGGGCUAAUACCGGAUAGGAGCUCCUGCUGCAUGGUGGGGGUUGGAAAGUUUCGGCGGUUGGGGAUGGACUCGCGGCUUAUCAGCUUGUUGGUGGGGUAGUGGCUUACCAAGGCUUUGACGGGUAGCCGGCCUGAGAGGGUGACCGGCCACAUUGGGACUGAGAUACGGCCCAGACUCCUACGGGAGGCAGCAGUGGGGAAUAUUGCACAAUGGGCGGAAGCCUGAUGCAGCAACGCCGCGUGCGGGAUGACGGCCUUCGGGUUGUAAACCGCUUUCGCCUGUGACGAAGCGUGAGUGACGGUAAUGGGUAAAGAAGCACCGGCUAACUACGUGCCAGCAGCCGCGGUGAUACGUAGGGUGCGAGCGUUGUCCGGAUUUAUUGGGCGUAAAGGGCUCGUAGGUGGUUGAUCGCGUCGGAAGUGUAAUCUUGGGGCUUAACCCUGAGCGUGCUUUCGAUACGGGUUGACUUGAGGAAGGUAGGGGAGAAUGGAAUUCCUGGUGGAGCGGUGGAAUGCGCAGAUAUCAGGAGGAACACCAGUGGCGAAGGCGGUUCUCUGGGCCUUUCCUGACGCUGAGGAGCGAAAGCGUGGGGAGCGAACAGGCUUAGAUACCCUGGUAGUCCACGCUGUAAACGGUGGGUACUAGGUGUGGGGUCCAUUCCACGGGUUCCGUGCCGUAGCUAACGCUUUAAGUACCCCGCCUGGGGAGUACGGCCGCAAGGCUAAAACUCAAAGGAAUUGACGGGGCCCCGCACAAGCGGCGGAGCAUGCGGAUUAAUUCGAUGCAACGCGUAGAACCUUACCUGGGUUUGACAUGGAUCGGGAGUGCUCAGAGAUGGGUGUGCCUCUUUUGGGGUCGGUUCACAGGUGGUGCAUGGCUGUCGUCAGCUCGUGUCGUGAGAUGUUGGGUUAAGUCCCGCAACGAGCGCAACCCUUGUUCACUGUUGCCAGCACGUUAUGGUGGGGACUCAGUGGAGACCGCCGGGGUCAACUCGGAGGAAGGUGGGGAUUACGUCAAGUCAUCAUGCCCCUUAUGUCCAGGGCUUCACGCACGCUACAAUGGCUGGUACAGAGAGUGGCGAGCCUGUGAGGGUGAGCGGAUCUCGGAAAGCCGGUCUCAGUUCGGAUUGGGGUCUGCAACUCGACCUCAUGAAGUCGGAGUCGCUAGUAAUCGCAGAUCAGCAACGCUGCGGUGAAUACGUUCCCGGGGCU